This 472-nucleotide ribosomal RNA is filed under the name fungal sp. CZ-2011d. RNAcentral describes it as "eukaryotic LSU rRNA". The stretch from base 109 to 262 matches the Rfam family "5.8S ribosomal RNA". The record is from RNAcentral. Lineage: Eukaryota; Fungi.
UGUUGCUUUGGCACGCCGCCUUCGGGCACCGGCUCCGGCUGGCUCGCGCGUGUCAGAGGAUCUAAAACUCUGAAUGUUAGUGUCGUCUGAGUACUAUCUAAUAGUUAAAACUUUCAACAACGGAUCUCUUGGUUCUGGCAUCGAUGAAGAACGCAGCGAAAUGCGAUAAGUAAUGUGAAUUGCAGAAUUCAGUGAAUCAUCGAAUCUUUGAACGCACAUUGCGCCCGGUGGCAUUCCGCCGGGCAUGCCUGUUCGAGCGUCAUUUAAACCAAUCCAGCCUCGUGCUUGGGUCUUGGGCCUUUCGCCUCUGGGCGGGCCUCAAAAUCAGUGGCGGCGCCUCCUGGCUCUACGCGUAGUAAUACUCCUCGCUAUAGAUGUCUGGUGGUGUCCUGCCAAAACCCCCAUAUUUUUUAAGGUUGACCUCGGAUCAGGUAGGGAUACCCGCUGAACUUAAGCAUAUCAAUAAGCCGGA